GUCUAGAUGGUGAAAUGGUAGACACGCAGGACUUAAAAUUCUGUCUUUACGGGUUCGAAUCCCGUUCUAGACA
RNAcentral lists this transfer RNA (73 nucleotides) under Candidatus Uzinura diaspidicola str. ASNER. Its description in RNAcentral is "tRNA-Leu (TAA) (tRNA-Leu-TAA-1-1)". It matches the Rfam family "tRNA". Rfam says of the family: Transfer RNA (tRNA) molecules are approximately 80 nucleotides in length. Their secondary structure includes four short double-helical elements and three loops (D, anti-codon, and T loops). Further hydrogen bonds mediate the characteristic L-shaped molecular structure. tRNAs have two regions of fundamental functional importance: the anti-codon, which is responsible for specific mRNA codon recognition, and the 3' end, to which the tRNAs corresponding amino acid is attached (by aminoacyl-tRNA synthetases). tRNAs cope with the degeneracy of the genetic code in two manners: having more than one tRNA (with a specific anti-codon) for a particular amino acid; and 'wobble' base-pairing, i.e. permitting non-standard base-pairing at the 3rd anti-codon position. The record is from Rfam by way of RNAcentral. Lineage: Bacteria; Pseudomonadati; Bacteroidota; Flavobacteriia; Flavobacteriales.